AGCCCUAAGAAUUUAUUUAGGGUGAUACCUGCCCAAUGAGAUAUUGAAUGGCCGCGGUACUCUGACCGUGCUAAGGUAGCAUAAUCAAUUGACUUUUAAAUGAAGUCUGGAAUGAACGGGGUAACGGAAUUAAGCUGUCUCACUCACUUAAUAAUAAGUUACUAACUAAGUGAAAAGGCUUAGAAAUGAAAAAAGACGAGAAGACCCUAAGAGUUUUUAUUUUGUUGGGGCGACAAGGGAUCUUAACAUCCUUGAUAAUGUGGCGGAUUAUGUCAGGGUAAGAUAAACUACCUUAGGGAUAACAGCAUAAUUUUUUUAAGUUUGUGACCUCGAUGUUGGACUAGGAAGCCCUUAGGCUAGCUGCUUAAGAGGGGGAUUCUGUUCGAAUUUUUACUCCU
RNAcentral lists this ribosomal RNA (398 nucleotides) under Aliculastrum sp. A TRO-2019. Its description in RNAcentral is "partial 16S large subunit ribosomal RNA". It matches the Rfam family "Archaeal large subunit ribosomal RNA", at positions 1921 to 2665 of the family's 2987-position model. The record is from RNAcentral. Lineage: Eukaryota; Metazoa; Mollusca; Gastropoda; Cephalaspidea; Haminoeidae.